This 424-nucleotide ribosomal RNA is filed under the name Verrucomicrobiota bacterium. Its description in RNAcentral is "Verrucomicrobia bacterium partial 16S ribosomal RNA". It matches the Rfam family "Bacterial small subunit ribosomal RNA", at positions 355 to 776 of the family's 1533-position model. Lineage: Bacteria; Pseudomonadati; Verrucomicrobiota. The record is from RNAcentral.
UGAGGAAUAUUGGUCAAUGGACGAGAGUCUGAACCAGCCAAGUAGCGUGCAGGAUGACGGCCCUAUGGGUUGUAAACUGCUUUUGUUUGGGAAUAAUCGACAUUACGUGUAAUGUUUUGCAUGUACCAUUCGAAUAAGGACCGGCUAAUUCCGUGCCAGCAGCCGCGGUAAUACGGAAGGUCCAGGCGUUAUCCGGAUUUAUUGGGUUUAAAGGGAGUGUAGGCUGUCUAUUAAGCGUGUUGUGAAAUAUACCGGCUCAACCGGUGGCUUGCAGCGCGAACUGGUCGACUUGAGUAUGCAGGAAGUAGGCGGAAUUCAUGGUGUAGCGGUGAAAUGCUUAGAUAUCAUGACGAACUCCGAUUGCGCAGGCAGCUUACUGUAGCAUAACUGACGCUGAUGCUCGAAAGUGCGGGUAUCAAACAGG